GCAGCCCAGCAUCUCCCACGGUCGCCAUACUGCAGUCCACGGACAAAGACGAGGGAGAGCAGACAUGGCCGAUCACCACGGUUACUCGAACGGAUACAACAAUGGCCAUGGAGACAGCAAAACCAAAUU
Molecule: long non-coding RNA, 129 nt
Organism: Haliotis rubra (blacklip abalone)
Lineage: Eukaryota; Metazoa; Mollusca; Gastropoda; Lepetellida; Haliotidae
Exons: 3
Source: RefSeq, a predicted model, not a curated record